This 254-nucleotide ribosomal RNA is filed under the name uncultured bacterium. Its description in RNAcentral is "partial 16S ribosomal RNA". It matches the Rfam family "Bacterial small subunit ribosomal RNA", at positions 524 to 776 of the family's 1533-position model. The record is from RNAcentral.
GACGUAGGGCGCAAGCGUUGUCCGGAAUUAUUGGGCGUAAAGAGCUCGUAGGCGGCUCAGUAAGUCGGGUGUGAAACCUCCAGGCUCAACCUGGAGACGCCACCUGAUACUGCUGUGGCUGGAGUCCGGUAGGGGAGCGUGGAAUUCCUGGUGUAGCGGUGAAAUGCGCAGAUAUCAGGAAGAACACCCGUGGCUAAGGCGGCUCUCUAGUACGGUACUGACGCUGAGGAGCGAAAGUGUGGGGAGCGAACAGG